AGACUCCUACGGGAGGCAGCAGUGAGGAAUAUUGGUCAAUGGGCGAGAGCCUGAACCAGCCAAGUAGCGUGCAGGAUGACGGCCCUAUGGGUUGUAAAACUGCUUUUAUAAGGGAAUAAAAGUGAGUCUCGUGAGACUUUUUGCAUGUACCUUAUGAAUAAGGACCGGCUAAUUCCGUGC
This 180-nucleotide ribosomal RNA is filed under the name uncultured bacterium. RNAcentral's name for it is "partial 16S ribosomal RNA". It matches the Rfam family "Bacterial small subunit ribosomal RNA", at positions 333 to 508 of the family's 1533-position model. The record is from RNAcentral.